GCGUCUAUAGUAUAGAGGUUCGUACGAAUGCCUUCCAAGCAUUUAGGUCGGGUUCGAGUCCCGAUAGACGCA
Transfer RNA from Paramecium tetraurelia, 72 nucleotides. It matches the Rfam family "tRNA". Rfam says of the family: Transfer RNA (tRNA) molecules are approximately 80 nucleotides in length. Their secondary structure includes four short double-helical elements and three loops (D, anti-codon, and T loops). Lineage: Eukaryota; Ciliophora; Oligohymenophorea; Peniculida; Parameciidae. The record is from Rfam.